RNAcentral lists this ribosomal RNA (253 nucleotides) under uncultured bacterium. Its description in RNAcentral is "partial 16S ribosomal RNA". It matches the Rfam family "Bacterial small subunit ribosomal RNA", at positions 524 to 776 of the family's 1533-position model. The record is from RNAcentral.
UACGUAGGGCGCAAGCGUUAUCCGGAAUUAUUGGGCGUAAAGAGCUCGUAGGCGGUUUGUCGCGUCUGCCGUGAAAGUCCGGGGCUCAACUCCGGAUCUGCGGUGGGUACGGGCAGACUAGAGUGCAGUAGGGGAGACUGGAAUUCCUGGUGUAGCGGUGAAAUGCGCAGAUAUCAGGAGGAACACCGAUGGCGAAGGCGGGUCUCUGGGCCGAUAUUGACGCUGAGGAGCGAAAGCGUGGGGAGCAAACAGG